GGGGCCAUGGCUCAGUGGUAGGGCACUCGUCUGGCAUGUGUGAGGCAUUGGGUUCGAUUCUCAGCCCCA
This 69-nucleotide transfer RNA is filed under the name Ictidomys tridecemlineatus (thirteen-lined ground squirrel). RNAcentral's name for it is "Spermophilus tridecemlineatus (thirteen-lined ground squirrel) tRNA". It matches the Rfam family "tRNA". Rfam says of the family: Transfer RNA (tRNA) molecules are approximately 80 nucleotides in length. Their secondary structure includes four short double-helical elements and three loops (D, anti-codon, and T loops). Lineage: Eukaryota; Metazoa; Chordata; Mammalia; Rodentia; Sciuridae. The record is from Rfam by way of RNAcentral.